RNAcentral lists this small RNA (2420 nucleotides) under Pongo abelii (Sumatran orangutan). RNAcentral's name for it is "retained intron". The record is from RNAcentral. Lineage: Eukaryota; Metazoa; Chordata; Mammalia; Primates; Hominidae.
GGAAGGGUAGAGGCCCAGUUUCCUGUGAGCCCGCCCCACCCCUGAGGUCUGAUGCCAAGCUGAUGGCAUCACAGGGUCAGGUAGUCCCAAGAGGUCACCUGGCUGGCCUCCUAUAUCUGGUGACCAAUCACCUGUCCCACAACCUUCUUGAGGGGUCUUCCUCCCUCUGCCCCAGUGCAUUGCUGCUGUGGAGGCAGCUGCAGGGAGGCAGGACCCAAGGCAGCUGGCCAGACAAGAAUAUAUUAAAGGAAUCUGUGAACCUGAACUAGAAGAAAGAGAAUGUUACCCCAAGGACAUGCACUGCAUUUUUGUUGGGGCAGAGAGCCUGUUUCUGAAAAGCUUGAUUCAGGAUACUUGUGCUGACCUCUGCAUUCUGGACAUUGGCCUUCUUGGCAUCAGAGGAAGUGCUGAGGCCGUGGUCAUGGCUAGGAGUCACAUUCAACAAUUUGUAAAGCUCUUUGAAAAUAAAGAGAACCUACCCAGCAGUCAGAAAGAAUCAGAGGUGAAAAGGGAAUUCAAACAAUUUGUUGAAGCCCAUGCAGACAAUUACACAAUGGAUUUGUUGAUUUUGCCCACUUCCUUGAAAAAAGAACUUUUGACACUCACACAAGGUGAGGAGAAUCUCUUUGAAACAGGAGAUGAUGAUGUUAUUGAAAUGAGAGAUUCUCAACAAACAGAGUUUACACAGAAUGCUGCCACAGGGCUGAAUAUUUCUAGAGAUGAAACUGUUUUGCAGGAAGAGGCAAGAAAUAAAGCUGGGACUCCUGUUUCUGAGCUUACAAAACAAAUGGACACAGUCCUUUCUAGCUCACCAGAUGUGCUUUUUGAUCCAAUAAAUGGUCUAACCCCAGAUGAAGAGGCACUUUCCAAUGAGAGAAUUUGUCAGAAAAGGAGAUUUUCUGAUUCUGAAGAAAGGCAUACGAAGAAGCAGUUUUCUUUGGAAAAUGUUCAGGAGGGGGAGAUUUUACACGAUGCUAAGACAUUGGCUGGAAAUGUAAUAGCUGACCUAUCUGAUUCUUCUACUGAUUCUGAAAAUUUAAGUCCGGAUAUAAAAGAAACUACUGAGGAAAUGGAAUACAACAUCCUCGUAAACUUUUUUAAAACCAUGGGCUACUCCCAAGAAAUUGUUGAAAAGGUCAUUAAGGUGUAUGGACCAUCUACUGAACCAUUAUUGCUCUUAGAGGAAAUUGAAAAGGAAAAUAAAAGAUUCCAAGAAGACAGAGAAUUUUCAGCUGGUACAGUGUAUCCAGAGACCAACAAAACCAAAAAUAAAGGUGUUUAUAGCAGCACAAAUGAGCUUACAACUGAUUCCACUCCAAAGAAAACACAGGCUCACACACAGCAAAAUAUGGUAGAAAAAUUUUCUCAGUUACCAUUCAAAGUGGAAGCUAAACCAUGUACCUCAAACUGCAGAAUUAAUACUUUCAGAACAGUGCCAAUAGAACAGAAACAUGAAGUCUGGGGUUCAAACCAGAACUACGUUUGUAACACAGACCCUGAAACUGAUGGCCUUUCACCUUCUGUUGCCUCUCCAAGUCCCAAAGAAGUCAAUUUUGUUUCAAGGGGAGCUUCAAGUCACCAGCCCAGAGUUGCACUUUUUCCUGAAAAUGGUUUACACCAGCAGCCAGAACCCUUGCUUCCAAAUAAUAUGAAAUCUGCCUGUGAAAAACGUUUAGGAUGUUGUAGUUCUCCUCAUUCUAAGCCAAAUUGCUCAACCCUUUCUCCACCAAUGCCACUGCCCCAGCUGUUACCUUCGGUUACUGAUGCAAGGUCGGCAGGACCUUCUGAUCAUAUUGAUUCGUCAGUUACUGGGGUUCAAAGGUUUCGAGAUACUCUAAAAGUACCCUACAAGCUGGAAUUAAAAAAUGAACCAGGGAGAACAGAUUUGAAACACAUUGUUAUAGAUGGGAGCAAUGUUGCAAUUACCCAUGGUCUGAAAAAGUUCUUUUCUUGUCGUGGAAUUGCAAUUGCAGUUGAAUAUUUUUGGAAGCUUGGCAACAGAAACAUCACUGUAUUUGUCCCUCAGUGGAGAACAAGGCGUGAUCCUAAUGUCACAGAACAGCACUUCUUAACCCAGCUCCAGGAGCUCGGAAUAUUAUCUUUAACUCCUGCCCGGAUGGUCUUUGGAGAAAGAAUUGCUUCUCAUGAUGACAGGUUUCUCCUACACUUAGCGGACAAAACUGGUGGCAUAAUUGUGACAAAUGAUAAUUUCAGAGAAUUUGUGAAUGAGUCAGUCUCUUGGAGAGAAAUUAUUACAAAAAGGCUGCUGCAGUACACGUUCGUGGGGGACAUAUUUAUGGUUCCUGAUGAUCCUCUGGGAAGAAGUGGACCUCGAUUAGAGGAGUUUCUUCAGAAGGAAGUCUGUCUUAGGUAUUUCCUUUUUCAGAUUGUCUUGUAUUAAAACGUCUAUUUCAAUUCUU